CACACGCACGCACGCACACGCAUGCACGCGCACACACACACACACACGCCCGCCCGCCCGCCCGGCUCCGCUCCGCUCCCCUCCCGAGCUGCCUCAGCAAGGAGGAGCCCGGACGGAAAACACCAGGGCAGCAAGGAUUUGGAAGUGGAGUUCCUGGAAAGUGAACCUGGCAACGAGUGCAGGUUUCCCUGAAAGCUGAGGCUCUUUCUUAUUCCCUAGGAGACUGAGAAGAGAGGGGACCCUGGAUGUCAGCCCCAUCUCUGUUUUUUUAUUUGUCUUGACUUUGAGGCAGAUUUCCUCUUUCAGCUCUGGGAAUCGACAGGUCCAGCUAUCCGCUCCCUAGAGCUGCCUGCUUGCACAGCUACUCAGACUGACUGACUGACUGACUUAACCUUCCUUCUAUUGUCGACGACCCGUCUCCUUUAUUUGUAUCACACUCUUCUGACUGGCUGGUCAGUAAGUCCUAAUAAUAAUCACAUUUCAUGUCUUAGAAAUCUAAUAGUCAAGUUACUCAUUCUUAUAAAUUACAGCUAAGCUAUUUGGGUUAGUCGUGUUACCCCCACUUUAAAAGGCAGGGAAACUGAAACAGGAAAAUUAACAUAUUUGCUUGAGGCCACACAUGGAUUUAAGAGUAGAUCCAGGACUGGAACUGAAUUUAGACCAAGCUCCCUCUUAAAGAUCCUCAAGUGCGCUAUGGAAAACGCUUCUUUAAAAAAGAAAUGUAAUGUAAAUGUUAUUUUUCAUCAAUUUUGUAUAUUAGUCAAAAUACACACACUUUUUUUUAGAUCACAUUUCUUAUUCUAAAGGUAAGAUUUAUCCGGCUUUUUAAAAAGUGUGGUGAUACCUUUCAACUACAUAGGGCUGUUUACUUUGGAAACAAGAAACAUUUAAUAUGAGAUUGUGAGCAGUAAUGGGAACAGAAUUGCUCGUUAUUAGGUUACUGUAAACAGUAUUUGCUGCAUGUUACGGGCCAACAAAAUAUAACGAGAAGUCCGGCAUUAGUAUAGAUAAGGUGCUAUUGCUUACCUAGUGUGCAUCGGUUUUCACCAUAAUGCUCCUUCAGUGCUUUCAGUAUCAAAAUACUUAGCAUGGGUCUAAACACUGAAAAGCAUACGGGAGAACCAUAUACUGUGUUUGAGAGUUAUGGUUUAUGUCAUUAAGCAGUGAGUUUUACCAAGUUGUGUCACUCAUGUCAAUGAAGCAAGAUGUAUAUUGCCUGCCCUUUAGCUGCGGCAUGUCAUCAAAGCUGUAUUAUGGUAUGACUGAGUGCAGAUGGCAUGCCUAAAAAGCAGGUGUACAAUGUAACUUUCCUAUUACUGACACUUAGAUAUUUCCUCUUCCUCAGUGUCCACCCCCAGAUGUUUGCUUGCCCAGCCUUCUACAGGAACUACAGAAAGUCCUGCUCAUCCUGCUCAUCCCUAAUGGCUGGAAUUGUACAGUCAAAACCUAUACAGAACAAGUGUUCACAUAUAUUUUUAUGUAUUUAUGCUGACAGCUCUAUUCUGAGCUUUUUUAGAGUCCUGAUCUGAGGGAAGUGGGUGCAGAUCUCAUUCAAAUAAUCAUUCUCCAAUACCAUUACAUUACCUGCCAAAAAUGAAAGUGGCAUAUGAAUCACAAUAAGCCACUCAUGAAUUUGUGGAUUUAGAGCCUGCCAAGGAACACCAGAAAUCCACAUGAUUUCAAAGUCCCAUGAGUUUUAGGGACUUUGAACAAUGUGUAAAAGUACAUUUAUCCAAAGGCCAUCUUAUUGAUGACCCAUCCUAUAAGGACUACAGACAUAACCAAUUCAAGUGAAGGACAACAUUAACUGAAAAUAUUUCUGUUCAAAUCUUUCAAGUGAGGUAGUGAAAGUGGUGAAUCUGCUAAUUGAAACCAUGUCAGAGACCCUUCCUGAGGUGCCCCUUAUUGAAGUGCUACUGUGACAUAAUGAUGUGGAAAUAUGCUUUUGUGUGAGAAGAGCUAUUGGAUCUUCUGGGAACUAUCACAGAUGCUUUCCAGUUCCUUUCAGACAUGUAAAUAUCUUUAUGUUUAGACAUGAGUUGAGCGGUGUAGGAAAUGAAGCCGAGUGAGGCUUGGAGUGGGGUUAAAAGCAUCCACAUAGAUCCAGGAACCAAGUAAAUACAUGUGAGGGUUUUUUUCUGUAUCUGAUGUUAGCUAGGGCUUGAAAUGAAAUGUCCAUUAUUAACAAGAAGCGCUGCAUGAACGUAUGCAUACUUGAGAGUUAUAUUGACCCAUAGUUGAUAGAGAAGGCCAUCUUCUGCCUGAAAUUACAGAUGAUCAACAGAACUCUCAGUAAUGCUCAGAUACUUAGGUUGUUCCCAAGUAAUAUGUACCUUAUCAAGUAUGGUUUAUUUCCAGUUUGUAGUAUAUGGCUAAUGCUACAGCAGUCAAAAACACUACAUGCCACCUAGCACUUCUUAUGAUUGCUUGCUUUCUUCAUGGUUUGCUUUAAGCUAAGCACUUCAGAAACUGAAAAUAACAUUUGAGUCUUUUUUUCCCCCUUAACAUACAAAAACAGCAGCAUAAGUUUUGUAAUCUACUUAUAUGUUAGUACUUGUGAAACGUAGCAAAAAACCCUGCUUACUAGCAUGGUCUACACAUAGCUGUCUCAGCAGCUUCAUGAAAUAUGAAGACUUGGUUUGAGUAACUAUGUUCCAACCGGUAUUAGCGUUAUCUGUCCUAGAUGAAAAUGGCAGUGAACAAAUACAACCAUGCUGGAGUGGCCUUCUGUGCAUAUUUUAAAUGCAAGUGGGCAUUGUCAGCUGUACCAUAACCUUGUCUGAUGUUUCAUCUGGCUUGUGGCUCAGUGGAAGACACUCAGAUGACUUUUUCUGAAUGUGGCUGCUGCUUUCAGUGUAUUUCUGCAGUCUUUUGAUUAUUUUACUCUUUGUUGGUUACACACCAAUCUUCUGGGCUUAGGCCUAUGCUGCCUCACUAUCUGAAUGCCUCUCUUGAAAAUUUGUUCACUGAAAUGGGCAUCACGUCAAUAAUAACAAAUAAAUCUGUCCAUCUCCAGACUGGGUUAAGUUUCCUCCAAUCAUUCACUGAAGGUUCGUGUUUCCAGGCUCUGAUGCUACAGGUACCUCGAUCUGUUCAGCUUCUCUCCAAGGUGAUAACUACUUUCUGUUCCACAUCUCUGUUACAGGAGAUCUUUUGAUUACCUAUAAAAGUAAGCUGCAUCCUGUAGAUUUCCUCUUAAAACUUCUGCUUUACGGAAGAGAAGAUCAACUUGUUGCAGGUGCAUCAAUGGCAUCAAGCUCGCUUCUCUUUUGCCUGACUGCCGUUUCCAUCUUCUGUCAGUCUAAAAUUACCAUUUUUGAAAGGAUUGAAGGAGUUGUAUUUAUUAAUAUUUGUGUGAACCAUUUUUCUUGCACAUUGUCUGUUCUUCUUUUCUUCUUCCCCUUGGUGUCUGGUUCAUCUUGGCAGCUUUUAAAAAUUCUGUUGCCUCUAGUGAGGGACUGCCAGAUUAAACCAGUGAAGAGAAACCAGGUGACUGUCUACUUUUACAAAUAUAGGUUGUGUAUAAUAAAUUCAGGUUUUACAUCUAUGCAAAUUAAAUCAUCAUAUGAUUCUGACUACAUGCAUUUUUUAUCAAAUAUGGCAUAUAUUUCACAAAUUAUAUUUAACUUAUAGUCAUGUUGCUAUUCUGAAUACCUAGCUAGGAGUUACAAGGUGUGCCACUAGAUCUUAGUAAAUAGGCUUAUGAAAACAGAAGAAAUAAGAGAAAAUCACCUUUUUUUCUUGUAUUCCUGGUAAGUCAGUGGAAAGGCUUUUCCUGCUAUAGGUGAUGAUAUAAACACCUCACCACUAAGCUGUUUAGAGACACAAGUACAUCUUGUUACUAGAAAUGUAGAGAUUUUGUAAAGGCCUAAACAGAACAUGCCCAGAAUAAAGAAGUUCUAGAGCAAUGUGUCUUUUUGUCUGGAGUUUACCGCAUCUAGUUAGUAAGGCCUUCCGCUAAUGGUUCUGUCAUGGAGUGGAAGACAUUAGUCACAAUGUCAAAAUAAACAUUUUACUUCCGCAAAAUUAUAUUUUCACCUCAGGAAUAUUGUGAAGUGAAAAUAGGAUUUAGCACAAUUCUUCCUUGGGGGUUUAUUGACAGACGGGGCAGUUUUAGUGUAAGGCCCUAAGCCUUGCAAUACGAUCCCCAACCAUAGGUGCACGAUACUUUGAAUAAUCAAUCUGUCAGCUGAGCUAUGAAAAGGAUUAUGCUGUGAAGGUAACAACUCAAUGGUUUCACUGUUAAUUGUCCUCGGCAACUGCUGCUGUUUUUUUCAUAAAUAAAACAAUAUUUUGGUGAGCACAAA
Long non-coding RNA from Harpia harpyja (harpy eagle), 4307 nucleotides. RefSeq lists it as uncharacterized. Lineage: Eukaryota; Metazoa; Chordata; Aves; Accipitriformes; Accipitridae. The record is from RefSeq and is a predicted model, not a curated record. The transcript is spliced from 3 exons.